AACGAACGCUGGCGGCAUGCCUAACACAUGCAAGUCGAACGAGACCUUCGGGUCUAGUGGCGCACGGGUGCGUAACGCGUGGGAACCUGCCCUUAGGUUCGGAAUAACUCCCCGAAAGGGGUGCUAAUACCGGAUAAUGUCUUCGGAGCAAAGAUUUAUCGCCUUUGGAUGGGCCCGCGUUGGAUUAGCUAGUUGGUAGGGUAAAAGCCUACCAAGGCGACGAUCCAUAGCUGGUCUGAGAGGAUAAUCAGCCACACUGGGACUGAGACACGGCCCAGACUCCUACGGGAGGCAGCAGUGGGGAAUAUUGGACAAUGGGCGAAAGCCUGAUCCAGCAAUGCCGCGUGAGUGAUGAAGGCCUUAGGGUUGUAAAGCUCUUUUACCCGGGAUGAUAAUGACAGUACCGGGAGAAUAAGCUCCGGCUAACUCCGUG
Molecule: ribosomal RNA, 433 nt
Filed under: uncultured bacterium
Lineage: Bacteria
Description: partial 16S ribosomal RNA
Rfam family: Bacterial small subunit ribosomal RNA
Source: RNAcentral